AGGACGAACGCUGGCGGCGUGCUUAACACAUGCAAGUCGAGCGGAAAGGCCUUUCGGGGUACUCGAGCGGCGAACGGGUGAGUAACACGUGAGCAAUCUGCCCAUCGCUUCAGGAUAGCCAUCGGAAACGGUGAUUAAUACUGGAUAUGACAUUCCUUCGCAUGUUGGGGUGUGGAAAGUUUUUUCGGCGGUGAUGUGCUCGCGCCUAUCAGCUUGUUGGUGGGGUAAUGGCCUACGAAGGUCUUUGGACGGGUAGCCGGUCCUGACGGAGGGUCGACCGGCCACACGUGGGACUGACGACGACGGCCCAGCUCGUACGGGAGC
This 324-nucleotide ribosomal RNA is filed under the name uncultured soil bacterium. RNAcentral describes it as "bacterial SSU rRNA". It matches the Rfam family "Bacterial small subunit ribosomal RNA", at positions 26 to 348 of the family's 1533-position model. The record is from RNAcentral.